Molecule: long non-coding RNA, 558 nt
Organism: Neltuma alba
Lineage: Eukaryota; Viridiplantae; Streptophyta; Magnoliopsida; Fabales; Fabaceae
Exons: 4
Source: RefSeq, a predicted model, not a curated record
CCCAGUGUUAGAAGGUGAUGUAAAUUGGUGGCUUGGCACCCCGUAAGUGUGUGGAUAGUGUGGGGAUAUGCCGUCCAUGGUGGUGCUAAAAAAGCAAUGGAAUGACACACUAAUGCUCCCAUGACAAGGGCUUUCAUUAUCACCUCAAUGCUUUUCACUAUCUUCUUCGAGAUCAAAGAUCGUUAUAACACACUGAGAUUGUCUUAUCAGGUACUUGGCGUGCAAGUUGUCAAUUUGUGAUGAUAAAGUCGAGUCUGGUAUAAUUUUCAUUUGCAACUCCAGAGUUGAUCUUUGCACUGUUUCUGCUAUACUAUUUCAAGGUCUUCGAGAGACAGAUAGGUUCCCAUGAACACUCAGUGAGUUUUAAAUAUAGAUUCCUGAAUUUUUGGGCAAUCUCCUAAUAUGCUUAUGUUCAUGUGCUUGGUUUUCUUCUCCACAGUUGUCACCUCUCUUAUAAGACGCUUUCCCAACAACAACAUUAAAAGUGGUUGUUGGUCAUGGUUUGUGUUAGUGGCCUGUAUCAGUAAGUGGACUUUAGAGUGUUUGACAUAGUGCAAG